GACGAAGGGGGCUAGCGUUGUUCGGAAUUACUGGGCGUAAAGCGAGUGUAGGUGGUUGUCCAAGUUGGAUGUGAAAGCCUUGAGCUCAACUCAAGAAAUGCAUUCAGGACUGGGCGGCUAGAGGACCGGAGAGGAUAGUGGAAUUCCCAGUGUAGUGGUGAAAUACGUAGAGAUUGGGAAGAACACCAGUGGCGAAGGCGAGUCCCUGGACGAUACCUGACACUGAGGCACGAAAGCUAGGGGAGCAAACAGG
This 253-nucleotide ribosomal RNA is filed under the name uncultured bacterium. RNAcentral's name for it is "partial 16S ribosomal RNA". It matches the Rfam family "Bacterial small subunit ribosomal RNA", at positions 524 to 776 of the family's 1533-position model. The record is from RNAcentral.